This 148-nucleotide small nuclear RNA is filed under the name Stegodyphus mimosarum. RNAcentral describes it as "U4 spliceosomal RNA". It matches the Rfam family "U4 spliceosomal RNA". Rfam says of the family: U4 small nuclear RNA (U4 snRNA) is a component of the major U2-dependent spliceosome. Lineage: Eukaryota; Metazoa; Arthropoda; Arachnida; Araneae; Eresidae. The record is from Rfam by way of RNAcentral.
UUACAUGAGCAGAGGCAGUGUCAUAGCCAGUGGAGGUUCUACUGAGUCGUGACUAUUUCUAGUUGAAAACUUUUUCCAAGACCCCUUUUUACAGUCGUACCUUUUCUUUUAACGUAUGUUGCUUAUUUUUUUAGCAAGAGUGUGCCUU